GACGAACGCUGGCGGCGUGCUUAACACAUGCAAGUCGAACGGAAAGGCCCUGCGUUUGUGGGGUGCUCGAGUGGCGAACGGGUGAGUAACACGUGAGUAACCGGCCCUUGACUUUGGGAUAACUUCAGGAAACUGGGGCUAAUACCGGAUAGGAUCUCCUGCUGCAUGGUGGGGGUUGGAAAGUUUAGGCGGGUGGGGAUGGACUGGCGGCUUAUCAGCUUGUUGGUGGGGUAGUGGCUUACCAAGGCUUUGGCGGGUCGCCGGCCUGGGAGGGGGACCGGCCACAUUGCGACUGAGAUACGGCCCAGACUGCUACGGGAGGCAGCAGGGGGGAAUAUUGCACAAUGGGCGGAAGCCUGAGGAAGCAGCGCCGCGGGCGGGAUGACGGCCUUCGGGUUGUAAACCGCUUUCGCCUGUGACGAAGCGUGAGUGACGGUAAUGGGUAAAGAAGCACCGGCUAACUACGUG
Molecule: ribosomal RNA, 468 nt
Filed under: uncultured bacterium
Lineage: Bacteria
Description: partial 16S ribosomal RNA
Rfam family: Bacterial small subunit ribosomal RNA
Source: RNAcentral